Molecule: non-coding RNA, 2268 nt
Organism: Oryzias latipes (Japanese medaka)
Lineage: Eukaryota; Metazoa; Chordata; Actinopteri; Beloniformes; Adrianichthyidae
Source: RefSeq, a predicted model, not a curated record
UAUCUUUCACAGAUUGAAAUUUAAAUAUGUAUGCUAAGAAUUUUAGAUAGAUAUUAAAAAAUUUGCACUUUAAGAAAGUGGGUUAGGGUUAGGGUUAGGUCGUAUCUCAACACUGCUUAACUACAAUGUGUAGAUUCAAGAAAAGAAAUACACAAUUUAAACACAGAAACACAGACACCAACACAGUACAUGAGACUUAGUGGGUGGGGGUGGGGGGUUACCUGUGGAUCAAUCCAAGAGUGCAGCUGUAAAGCACAUCUCCAGACAAUGCACAGGAGGGGGGGUGAGUAGUAAGAAUGCAGAGGUCAAGAAGGGAUGGGCAGAGAGUGUCAUCCUUUGCACACAGCUGUUUUUACACUCUGUAGAAGCAAAUAUGUUUUGGUAGAGCCAAGGGUAGCAGCACUCAGCUCACGAGGGGAGUCUGGUUAGAUUAAAUUCUUUUGGGCGCUUGCAGUUAUUUGUUCUGCUGGUUGAGUCCUUGACUGGUCUGGCAGAUUUGGAGGGAGAUUUUGAUCCAAAAGUGGGCAUUUUAGACCAGUCCUCCCUCAAUUCAAGCAGAAACACGGUCCAAGUUGACAUCCAUCUUCCGCACAAGUUUAAGGGUCGCAAGACCCUGCUUAAGUGGGCAAGACAAGCACAGUGCUUUUGAUCCAUUCAUGAAAGUUUCUCGUUGUGAGUCUCUACUGCCCGAAGAAUUUUCACACAGAGCUUGGACUGAUCGCCUCUCUCCGUCUUUUGCUCCCAGACUGCCCAAUAAAUCAGAAAUCUUCCAAUCCCAAUUGGGAGAAAUCCAAUUAUCAGAAAUCCGAAUAGAUGCAUAUCUUUUAUAUCUUCCAGAGACAGCUGAGCCAAGGACACCAGCCUCUACUUGCCCCAUAGAUUGUUGGUGUAUCCAGUCGCAUGGGUUCCGUCUGGGCAGAAAGGGUCCUGUAGGUUUCCAAUAAACCUAUCAGGGCGGGAGCGUGUGGCUGACGCAUGUUCUCCACAAGAAAAAAGCAAAACAAACAAAAUGGUGGAAGUGUGCGAAAGAAAUGGGGGAAAAAAAGGAUGUCAUCCACUUGCAGUCGUUUCCUUGCUUUAUUAACAUCCACAAAAAUAAAAAUAAAACAACAAACAUAAAAUCCACUUACUUUCUUAUUCUUAUAUGAACUUGAACAUAAACAUGUACAUGAUCAAAAAAAGACCGUCGCGCUCCUCACUCUGUCUCCUGCAACUACCGACACACCAAACUCCCCCGCCCCUCUCUCAUGUCGGGUGCGCUACGUUCUUAAAGGUACAGGAUCCUAUUUCUCUGCACAUAACAAAAAUCUUCUAAUAUAUACACAACCGAUAUAUUAUUCAAAUAAUCUUGAUAGAGAAAAUAAAACGCAGCAAAAAAUAUAACUGAGAUCAAACAUUAUCUACUUUCAUAACUAAAACUAAGUUCAGGUUUAAACUCCACCAAUUGAAAUUAACAUAAAUCUUGUGACCUCACAUAUGGCACUUACAGGUCCGCUUUCCCAUUCCUUAGUGUGGAGAAACCUUUGUUAAUCGAAUUCAGAGACCAGCUGAUCAGAUCCAUUUUCAGAGUGCAAAAAAGCAGAAGUUGUAAAAGGUUUAGAAAAAUGCAGGCUCUGGGGCGGACAGAACAAAAAGCCUUGGGAACGGGCUGACACAGGAGGAGCAAGAGGAAAAGCAGUCUGUCCUCAGCGAGAGUCUAGCAGAUCUUUUGUUUCCUUCACACAGUGUUGGCACUUAUUUACAAGUUAUUCUAGGACAGUGUUGCUGUCAUACAGGAAUAUUUGUCUGCAUCAUAUUUGCCUUGCCUGCACUUGCAGUGAACCAACUGUAGCCCACUCUGUAGCAAGACUGUUAUUCAUCCAGGUCACUUUUAAUUUUCCAUCCUCAAUGUGCAAUCCACUACCAAUGGGUGAGGGAGUACACAUGGUACCUUUCAGACAAUUUCUCAUUAUUGCUGCUUGUUAAUAAUGUGUCCUUUCGCUGUGUGGGUGUAGAGAGUCACAUGUUAGAGGCAUGGAUAGUUCUGGCAGAGCAUAAGAUGCCAGGUAAAAUGCUUUGUCUCAUCUGUUUCUGCAGACGACUGGUCGUACAGGUUCCAAAUAUAUUCGCAAAGAAUUUCAAAGGUGAACUGAUCCAGCCUAAAACUUUUACCCACGUUUGCAAAUCCAGUGAGGCAUUCCUCUUUCUCACAGGCAGUAAAACCCUUUCCCCCCUAGACAUUAAAAACACUUGUAGAGUCACAACCUGAAAAUGUAUGAAUCCCAAAAA